UACGUAGGGUGCGAGCGUUGUCCGGAAUUACUGGGCGUAAAGAGCUUGUAGGCGGUUUGUCGCGUUGUUCGUGAAAACUCACAGCUCAACUGUGGGCGUGCGGGCGAUACGGGCAGACUGGAGUACUGCAGGGGAGACUGGAAUUCCUGGUGUAGCGGUGGAAUGCGCAGAUAUCAGGAGGAACACCGGUGGCGAAGGCGGGUCUCUGGGCAGUAACUGACGCUGAGGAGCGAAAGCGUGGGGAGCGAACAGG
RNAcentral lists this ribosomal RNA (253 nucleotides) under uncultured bacterium. RNAcentral describes it as "partial 16S ribosomal RNA". It matches the Rfam family "Bacterial small subunit ribosomal RNA", at positions 524 to 776 of the family's 1533-position model. The record is from RNAcentral.